Long non-coding RNA from Myotis davidii, 333 nucleotides. RefSeq lists it as uncharacterized. NCBI's taxonomy places the organism in Eukaryota, Metazoa, Chordata, Mammalia, Chiroptera, Vespertilionidae. The transcript has 2 exons. The record is from RefSeq and is a predicted model, not a curated record.
GGCGUACCGGGCCCCUGCCGCACUCCGACCCAAAACUUUCAUGUUUCUACUGAAGGCCCGGCGGGUGGGAGAGAGAUCGCGAAGGUCAUCAUCACAGAGGCAUGAACAACACCUUUAGCAAGCCUCUAAGGAGCAGGGCUCGUGACCCGGGCAGACAUGCAAUUGAAUGUGAAUGUUCCCCUGACUGGCUGUAGAAGAGAAGCAGUAUUGGACAUGCUUUGAAUUAGCCACAGAUGAUUAGAAAUGAGUAUUAGUGAAUGGCAACAGUGACUAAACUAUCUGGAUUCUGAACUACUUUACUUCAAUACAAUGUUCCAGUUUUUGGUCAAUUAA